UCUAGAGGCUCCUCAUCUCCUGCUGCUGCUUCCUAGCUAUUCGAGUGUUAAAGAUAUCAGAUGUUCAGGGUGUGAAUUAUAUUAGCUUAUGAAACAUGUUCUGUGGACUUUCAUGCCUUUGUACAAUAAUCCUUUCAAGUUGUGACCAUCAAUUCUUUGUUUAAAGGCAGUAUUGUAGGGACUUGGUUGGUUCUUUGGGUGGCUUCAUCUUUGUUUUCUGACUCCUUUUAGGGAUUGUAUCUCAUGUAAGUUCAUCAGUGUAAAGUUCUCUGUCCCCUUGAUUUGUUCAUUUUGUAGUAUUUGUGGCUAUGGAUGGAGUGGAUUGCAUUAUCAACAAUUGAUUCCAGUUAUUAGCACAAUAGUGUUUUU
Molecule: long non-coding RNA, 369 nt
Filed under: Nicotiana benthamiana
Lineage: Eukaryota; Viridiplantae; Streptophyta; Magnoliopsida; Solanales; Solanaceae
Description: long non-coding RNA (NBEN_LNC002037)
Source: RNAcentral